AUUGAACGCUGGCGGCAUGCCUUACACAUGCAAGUCGAACGGCAGCACGGGAGCAAUCCUGGUGGCGAGUGGCGAACGGGUGAGUAAAGUAUCGGAACGUGCCCAGUCGUGGGGGAUAACGUAGCGAAAGUUACGCUAAUACCGCAUUCGAUCUAGGGAGGAAGGCGGGGGUUGGUAAGACCUCGCGCGAUUGGAGCGGCCGAUAUCAGAUUAGGUAGUUGGUGGGGUAAAGGCUCACCAAGCCGACGAUCUGUAGCUGGUCUGAGAGGACGACCAGCCACACUGGGACUGAGACACGGCCCAGACUCCUACGGGAGGCAGCAGUGGGGAAUUUUGGACAAUGGGCGCAAGCCUGAUCCAGCCAUGCCGCGUGCAGGAUGAAGGCCUUCGGUUUGUAAGCUGCUUUUGUACGGAACGAAAAGGUUUGACUUAAUACGUUGGACUCAUGACGGUACCGUAAGAAUAAGCACCGGCUAACUACGUGCCAGCCGCCGCCGUAA
This 500-nucleotide ribosomal RNA is filed under the name uncultured bacterium. RNAcentral's name for it is "partial 16S ribosomal RNA". It matches the Rfam family "Bacterial small subunit ribosomal RNA", at positions 30 to 523 of the family's 1533-position model. The record is from RNAcentral.